Molecule: ribosomal RNA, 253 nt
Filed under: uncultured bacterium
Lineage: Bacteria
Description: partial 16S ribosomal RNA
Rfam family: Bacterial small subunit ribosomal RNA
Source: RNAcentral
UACAGAGGGUGCGAGCGUUGUCCGGAAUCAUUGGGCGUAAAGCGCGUGUAGGCGGUUCGGUAAGUCUGCUGUGAAAGUCCAGGGCUCAACCCUGGGAUGCCGGUGGAUACUGUCGGACUAGAGUACGGAAGAGGCGAGUGGAAUUCCCGGUGUAGCGGUGAAAUGCGCAGAUAUCGGGAGGAACACCAAUUGCGAAGGCAGCUCGCUGGGACGUUACUGACGCUGAGACGCGAAAGCGUGGGGAGCAAACAGG